CAGUAGCCGCGGGAAUACGUAGGUCCCGAGCGUUGUCCGGAAUUAUUGGGCGUAAAGCGCGCGCAGGCGGAUCAGUCAGUCUGUCUUAAAAGUUCGGGGCUUAACCCCGUGAUGGGAUGGAAACUGCUGAUCUAGAGUAUCGGAGGGGAAAGUGGAAUUCCUAGUGUAGCGGUGAAAUGCGUAGAUAUUAGGAAGAACACCAGUGGCGAAGGCGACUUUCUGGACGAAAACUGACGCUGAGGUGCGAAAGCCAGGGGAGCGAACGGGAUUAGAUACCCCCGUAGUCCCUGUCUCUUAUACA
RNAcentral lists this ribosomal RNA (301 nucleotides) under uncultured bacterium. RNAcentral's name for it is "partial 16S ribosomal RNA". It matches the Rfam family "Bacterial small subunit ribosomal RNA", at positions 509 to 809 of the family's 1533-position model. The record is from RNAcentral.